GAGUUUGAUCCUGGCUCAGAACGACGCUGGCGGCAUGCCUAACACAUGCAAGUCGAACGGGAUCUUCGGAUCUAGUGGCGGACGGGUGAGUAACGCGUGGGAACCUGCCCUUGGGUACGGAAUAACAGUUGGAAACGACUGCUAAUACCGUAUACGUCCUUCGGGAGAAAGAUUUAUCGCCCUUGGAGGGGCCCGCGUGAGAUUAGGUAGUUGGUGGGGUAAUGGCCUACCAAGCCGACGAUCUCUAGCUGGUUUGAGAAGAUGAUCAGCCACACUGGGACUGAGACACGGCCCAGACUCCUACGGGAGGCAGCAGUGGGGAAUAUUGGACAAUGGGGGCAACCCUGAUCCAGCAAUGCCGCGUGAGUGAAGAAGGCCUUAGGGUUGUAAAGCUCUUUUACCCGGGAAGAUAAUGACGGUACCGGGAGAAUAAGCCCCGGCUAACUCCGUG
RNAcentral lists this ribosomal RNA (451 nucleotides) under uncultured Alphaproteobacteria bacterium. Its description in RNAcentral is "bacterial SSU rRNA". It matches the Rfam family "Bacterial small subunit ribosomal RNA", at positions 9 to 507 of the family's 1533-position model. Lineage: Bacteria; Pseudomonadati; Pseudomonadota; Alphaproteobacteria. The record is from RNAcentral.